This is an RNA transcript of Acanthochromis polyacanthus (spiny chromis), 4853 nucleotides long. It is a transcript of the gene named alpha tubulin acetyltransferase 1, with no coding region annotated. NCBI's taxonomy places the organism in Eukaryota, Metazoa, Chordata, Actinopteri, Pomacentridae. The transcript has 12 exons. The record is from RefSeq and is a predicted model, not a curated record.
UUUACUCCCAUUACGGUUUGUGUUUCCGGGAGUGACACGCAACCUCGGAGACACAAUGAAGCUGCAAAGACAAUAUAAUUAGCAAGUGCCUUUUUCUGCCACUCACACCGAGCAUUAUUUAGUGUCAUGCAAAUUGUGUCAGUGCAAUGUUGAAGUGCUGCUGUCUUCUUUCAGUCAGCUAACCGAUGUCUAUUGCGCCAGCGAGCCAGCUUUAUAGGUGAGAUAGCAAACUGCCAGUGCACCGUUAUCUAGCCUGCUAGCUGAGCACCAUUGGGAUUGGCUGUUAAUCUUUUGCUACAUAUCAUAGCUGUCCAGCUAAUUUGUACAAUGGAGUUUCCUUUUGAUAUUAACCAAAUAUUCUCAGAGAGGGUCUCCAUCUUGGACCAGACCCUUGUUGCAGGCCGCAGAUCAGCAGAAAGGCCUGAUCUUCAAGCCCAUAUAGCCACAGUUAUUGAUGAACUUGGCAGAGCCUCAGCAAAGGCCCAACAGCUUACAGCACCGAUAACGAGUGCUUCCAAGCUGCAGUCUCAGAGGCAUCAGCUCUACCUGCUGAAGGAUGGAGAGAGCAGCGGAGGGCGUGGUGUGGUCGUGGGAUUUCUGAAAGUUGGCUACAAGAAGUUAUUUCUGCUUGACCGUGGAGGUGUGCAUAUAGAGGCAGAGCCCCUGUGUGUCCUGGAUUUCUACAUAGCAGAGAACUUGCAGCGACAUGGCUAUGGGCUUGAGCUGUUUGAUUUCAUGUUGCAGCACAAGAAUUUAGAGCCAGUGUUGAUGGCUUAUGACAGGCCCUCACCUAAAUUCCUGUCUUUUUUGGCAAAGCAUUACUGCCUGACACAGAGUGUUCCUCAGGUCAAUAACUUUGUGGUGUUUGAGGGCUUCUUCUUCUCCAACAGAUCAGGCUUACCCUCCUCUCCUCUGACGGAUCAGGGGAUGUACGGCUUUUUUGGCCCAGUUGAGAAAGGUUCCCCUAAAAAAACCGGACGGAGAGAUCAAACCCUACUCUCUCAUGGAGAGAGAAGUGGUGCGUCAGGAACAGAGAACUCUCCCAUGGCCAUUUGCUCCUCCUCACUCCCCCCAGCGAUUGGUAUCCUCCCAGUGCUCCCACUCCCCCAGCAUGAGAUCCUCCCCCAGCAGGGCGCCCCCUCAAGUUCUCCUGCCUUCUUCCCCUGGGGGCAGCAGGAACCAAAGCCCACAGUCACCUCUCAUAGAUCGCUGCAGGGAAAGACGCAGCAGCCAACAGGGUCUGGCUGCUAGGUGUAGCCUGUACAGUCGAAAUAUGGACAACAGAGCUGUUGGACCGCUGGACAGACCUUUGCCAGGUGCCAACUUCUCUCACUUUCAUGUCUGCAUCCAAGAAGGAUGGCAUCGGCCGCUGAACCUCCAUAGACUGCAGAGAGAUGCAUAUGGCUACAGAUUCUGAAGCCUGUGGUGUUGAAGAGGAGAUUGAGGUGUUAGACAGUCUGCAAAGUCUAGCAGGAGGCACCCAGAGACCUCAGUUGGAGGAGGAGAGUGACAGAGACAAGGCUGGUCAUGGACCGUAGAAAUGAACUGCUCAGUCGAUACAACAGAAACAGGAAUACAGAAUCACCCGACCUUGGUGAUCAGGAGGCAGCUGAUUGUCAACAUUGAGAUAUUCAGUUCAAUUUUAUUUAUAUAGCACCAAUUACAGUUCAUAUUGUCUCAAGACACUUUACAGAACCCAUAUGCCUGCUGCAAAAAACACUUUUUUUCCUCCGUUGCAUUGAUAUAGGGAUUUCUUGGUGAAGUGCUGAGAACUCUGAAUGCUCAGGGCUAUAUUCAGUUCCCAAACUCUGUUGAUAGAAAAAGGUGCUCCCAGUUUUUCUGGUUUAUAAGAGGGGUAGUGUAAUGUCUGUCUUGGCUGGUGCCCAUCUGUUCGUCUUAUCUGGUUAACCAAACUGGUGAUAGCCAAAUAUGGAGCUGCUUCACUUCAGUAGCCAUCAGAUAACCAGCAGCCUCUAAACCACUUGGAAACUUGGGUAUAAACAGCAGAUUUUGUUCUGUCGAAAAUGCUUGACCACUUCUUGUCUUGUCUUUUUCUCAUUUGAACAACCAAUGCAUUAAGCUUACAAGGUUUCAGUUAGGUUAACAAAGAGGCACAGAAAAAGUAAACCAAGACACUACAUUCAAUAUCCAUCACGAUCUGAGCAAAGAAAAACAGGUUUUCUAUUCUCUCUCUGCUCUUUCACCUGGCCUCUGUCCUCUGGCAGGUUCAGAAAAGUCUUGAAGCUUGGCCUUCAAUCAAAAUUAAAUGUUUUUCCAAAUCUAAGACAUUAACAGUGUCCAUCACUUGAUGCAGUGACUGUUCAGGUGUAAAAAUAGGAUAACUGUGGUUUAUUUCAACCUGCUGUAUGUCCCAUUCAUGUGAUUGUUGUAUCUCUUUACGUCAUUCUGACUUUGCAAUCUGUACCUCUGUUGUAGCGAUUAUGGAAAACAAAAUGAUGUGUGUGGAUUAACCUGCCACAAAAGAGUGGCGGGUUAAUCCACACGCAUCAUUUUCUUUGCAGUAGUUUUUGCAAAUGGCUCAUUUCUGUCAGACUUGAGAUACACACAUUUAAAGUGGUUCAUGUAAAAAUCAGAACUUUUGGAAAGCUUUAAGUAGUUUGCACUUUUUGGACCAGUAUACACUGAUUUGUAUAACUCCCCAUUUCCCAGAAUAUCUACAACAGCGGUACAAUUAAACAAAACAUGAACAUAAACGCAUAAUUGAAUUAGCCUCUGCCCUCAGCCUUUUGCUAUGGUAAGCAGAAGGCUAAAUUAUUAGCAUUAGUCACUGUGGCCUCUCAUCACCAGCUUGGAGAUAAACCUACUACACAACCGAAGCGACCUCUAUACAGGACACAGGAGAAUGAAGUUUACUGUUCAUCUGUCUAGGAGAAGAACUGCAAGCUCGGAACAGUUUCUGGACACGAGUACAGUUUUAUGGAUACACUUCACUGAUCCUGACACGUGUUUUAUUGCUUUUAUUGUCACUGUUUUAGCCUCUCUGUUUCCUUUUUUGAGGUUAUGCGACAGUGAGUGAGUUGUUGAAAAUCUUUGAUAAGCAAUUUCUCCUGCAGCAUUUUCUGAUGAUGAAUUAGUUCCAUCUGAAAGAACGUGCACUCACAUCUGCCUUUGUAGAACACCCAGAUGGAAUGCUCUCUUCCUGAAAUUACUCAUAACUAUACUAAGUCUUUCAAUGUGUUCUAGAUUGUCUAAGACCUAAAUUACAACAUGCUGGAAGGUUAGUAGGGAAUUUUUGUUCAGUGAUACCAAAAAAAUACUGCAUACCCCAGGAGAACACACCAGGUAAAGAUAAACCAGAAAUAUUCUUUAAAGGUCCUUUUUUUCCUUUUCUUUACUCAGCUGCUUUCAUCACAUUGGCUCAAUGCAACAACAUAAAUGUACUUGAACCAUUUGUAUGAUUUAUCUGUUGUUGGAGAGAGUCUGGAAAUACAGUCAGUUGGUCAUGACAGCUGACUUUUUAACCCCACCUUUGAUAGUGUGGUAUGACUUUGAAUCAUACUAAGAUUUUUGCCCAGAGUGGGAAUAUUUGCUCCAUUUUUUUGUAAUCGGAUGGUUAAAUUGCCCUCUGCCUAUUUAUAAGUGAAGUUUAGUUGGUAUGACAGUUGUGGGACUGGUAAGUAGCUUAAGUUAUUUUCUGUUUGGAUCAGUUAGUCACAAUUCAGAUGUAACAAAAAGUGGUUUUGUCAACAUAACUGGUACACAGCCACAAAAUGAUCUACUACAUGUAUCAUGAAAUCAUAGUACCAAUGAAAGCUGUCAGCUGUGUGGAGUAAUUCUCUUUCAGCGUAUUGGGGUAGAGGCACACAUCUCUGAGGGACAUGCGAGGGGUGAUUGAUAAGUUUUGAGCCUGACCAAGAAAAAAGUAAAUUUAAACAAUCUUUUAUUUCUCAACAUAAUCCCCUUGCAAGUCCACACAUUUCUUCCAGCGUCUCUGUAGUGCCUUGAUCUCAUAGAAGGUCUUAUCCUGCUCCUGUAGGAAGUUGUUUACCGCAGCUAUGAUGUCAUCGUUUGUGGCAUAGUGGGUCCCAGCAAGGUGCCGUUUCAUGUUUGGGAAAAGAUGAAAGUCAGACGGAGCCAAAUCUGGGGAAUAAGGUGGAUGCUGCACGAGUUCAAAGCCACAUUCGUGAAUGGCAGCCAUGGCGACAACUGACUUGUGAACCAAAGCAUUGUCCUGGUGGAACAGGACACCACGUCUGAGCAUUCCACGGCACUUUUCUUUAAUUUUCUCCCUCAGUUGGUGUACCAGGGAAGCAUAAUAUUGCCCACUGAUGGUCAAUUGAUGGAUCACAGCACGGUCACCAAUUUGGUCCAUUUUGCUUGAAUGACCGACCUCACUCUACUCGGGUAUCAUACAUGCAUGAAUACACGCAUUGCGUUCAAAAUUGAACUCAAACUCUUCUGACAUGUUGCUCUCUCAGAGAACAAAAGGUUUUCAUUAACAAAGUGUCUUUUCUUGGUCAGGCUCAGAACUUAUCAAUUACCCCUCGUAGCUACAACCUGUUUCGAAUGGUGACGCAGCAUCUGGUUAUGUGAGAAAAUAUUUUUGUUUGCAUUCCAAAUUAACUGACUCUGUAACUUGAAUUCAAAAGCAUAAAGCUGCUGCUUAUCAGAUGUCAACAUCUGUGUGUUUUACCCAUAAUCCCUUUUGGGGUCAUUUCCUUGAGUUGAAUCUGCAGUGGACAUCUUGUAUAAAAUAACAAAAAUGAAUCUGGGAUUUGCAGGUGUUAUGUAUUAACCAAACAGUGUCAACGGAGGAAAUGCACAACAUUUUGCAUUAACUGUGCAUUGUACUUAUAUAAUCAUAUAAUAAUAAAAUGUGUUUUGCAUCAGUA